AUUGAACGCUGGCGGCAGGCCUAACACAUGCAAGUCGAACGGUAACAGGGAUCAGCUUGCUGAUUCGCUGACGAGUGGCGGACGGGUGAGUAAUGUCUGGGAAACUGCCUGAUGGAGGGGGAUAACUACUGGAAACGGUAGCUAAUACCGCAUAACGUCGCAAGACCAAAGAGGGGGACCUUCGGGCCUCUUGCCAUCGGAUGUGCCCAGAUGGGAUUAGCUAGUAGGUGGGGUAACGGCUCACCUAGGCGACGAUCCCUAGCUGGUCUGAGAGGAUGACCAGCCACACUGGAACUGAGACACGGUCCAGACUCCUACGGGAGGCAGCAGUGGGGAAUAUUGCACAAUGGGCGCAAGCCUGAUGCAGCCAUGCCGCGUGUAUGAAGAAGGCCUUCGGGUUGUAAAGUACUUUCAGCGGGGAGGAAGGGAGUAAAGUUAAUACCUUUGCUCAUUGACGUUACCCGCAGAAGAAGCACCGGAUAACUCCGUG
Molecule: ribosomal RNA, 490 nt
Filed under: uncultured bacterium
Lineage: Bacteria
Description: partial 16S ribosomal RNA
Rfam family: Bacterial small subunit ribosomal RNA
Source: RNAcentral